GACGAACGCUGGCGGCGUGCUUAACACAUGCAAGUCGAACGGAAAGGCCUCUUUCGGGGGGUACUCGAGUGGCGAACGGGUGAGUAACACGUGAGUAACCUGCCCUUGACUUUGGGAUAACUUCAGGAAACUGGGGCUAAUACCGGAUAGGAGAUCCUGCUGCAUGGAGGGGGUUGGAAAGUUUCGGGGGUUGGGGAUGGACUCGAGGGGUAUCGGCUUGGUGGUGGGGAAAUGGAUUGCCAAGGGCUUGCCGGGUAGCCGGCCAGUGGGGGUGAGCGGAGACCCUGAGACUGAGGGGAGGCCCAGACACCGACGCGUGGCAGAUGGGGGGAAGAUUGCACAAGGGGUGCAAGCCGGAUGCAGCAACGCCGCGUGCGGUAGGACGGCCUUAGGGUUGUAAACCGCAUGCGCUCAUGACGAAGCAUUGUGUGACGGUAGUGAGUAAAAAAGCACCGGCUAACUACGUG
This 467-nucleotide ribosomal RNA is filed under the name uncultured bacterium. Its description in RNAcentral is "partial 16S ribosomal RNA". It matches the Rfam family "Bacterial small subunit ribosomal RNA", at positions 28 to 507 of the family's 1533-position model. The record is from RNAcentral.